GGUGGCUCGGGCGCGUGCGCGCGGUCGGCUGGGCCAGCUGAACUGUGGCGCGCGCGAGGGAGUUGGGCCGGUUCGGCCCAAUUCGGCCGGGCCGGUCCGUUUACCCCUUUUUUUUCUUUUAGGCCUUUUCUUUUUCUGUUUUCUCAAUUCUUUGAUAUCUUUUGUGUUUGAACUCCAAAUUGGUCCAAAUAAAUUCCAGAAAAUUUGUAAAAUCAUGUUCUACCAAGAUACAACUUUUGGAAGUAGUUUCCUCUCAAAAUAAAAUAGAUAAAAAUACAUUUUCCCUAUAAAUGCCUUUAGGGCUAUAUAUCCAUUUAAAUAAAACACUUUUUCAACUCCAAAUAAUUAUCCAAAAUUUAUGGGAUAGCUUAUAUAUGCAAUAAACCCCUUUUAUACUUGAACCUUAGUGGUUUGAAGAUCCAAAGCUCAAAUGGGUGUAAACCAAAUCUUUUAAAGACUUUUGAGAUUCAAAUUUGAAUUCAAACAUGCAAUUGUGGCAUGAUGCUCACGGAUGCAAUGCACAUGUAAAGGUUUGAAAUUUUGGGAUGUUACAGUAAGCU
Molecule: long non-coding RNA, 560 nt
Filed under: Brachypodium distachyon (stiff brome)
Lineage: Eukaryota; Viridiplantae; Streptophyta; Magnoliopsida; Poales; Poaceae
Description: long non-coding RNA (BDIS_LNC003073)
Source: RNAcentral